GACUCAGUUGACCCACCCACUUCGGCCUCCCAAAGUGUUGGGAUUAUAGGCAUGAGCCACUGCUCCCAGUCUUUAUCUUCUUAACCAUGAGAUUGUUGUCACAAAUGAAAGGCUAAACAUAAGAAACAAACGUCGUUGCUAAAUAUAAAGGAAACUGGCAAGUGUAUAAUAUGAAGUUAAUAUUGAUUAGAAAAUCCAAUUAUUUCUAUGGUUUAUUCUGAUAUAUCCCAAGAUAGCUGUUUGUCAGCAGGUGAACUUCCUAUUUAAUUGGCAUGAUUGAGUAAUUAGACGUAUUCUCAGAGCAGCAAUAAAAUGAAAUUCUCAUGUCUCAGUAACAUGGUCGAGGUUUUUGUUUUGUUGUUUUACUCUUGAGUUUAUCCAACUGAGACCAAGUAGACUUUGUUUUAUCUGGAAAUAAUUUUCAAUUUAAUAUUUGGUAAGUGUGUGGUUAUAUAAUUAUUUUAAUCAUAAGAAUUAUGGAAAAAUUUACAAACUUGACAAAAAAUUGUGAUAAUUUACCUUUUUCUCAUACUAAAUCCUUCAAGGCCUCACUGUCUUUUUCCUGGGUUCCUGCAGGAGCCUUCUGAUUGGCUUCUCUCUGUGCGUUACAGGACUUUUCCUCAGGUCAACUUAUCUUCUAGAAGAGAAAUUUGAUCUUUGUACCAUGUAAUCGAUAUCAUAAUGCGUUCCUCUGUAAAUAACAGAAAACUGUACUACAGUGGCUUAAACAAAUAGGGGUUUAUUUGUCUCAUCCAUUACAAAUGUGGGGAUAGGUACAGUGGCUUCAAAUUGCUUCCAGGGUUCCAGUCUCUUUUCGUCUUUCUGCUCUGCCAUCCUUACUAUAUAGACAUUCACCCUCAUGCUAGUUGUGGCAUGAAUUCAAGAUGACUGCUUCACCUCCAGGCCUUGCUUCUACAUUCUAGGCAGGAAGAAGGUAGAGGGUGAAAAGGACAAAAAGGAUUAAAAAGUCUCAAGAAGACUUUGCCUUUUUCCAUAAAGGGAAGCCCUCCUUGAGCACUUUUGACUAGUUGCAAAGGAAGUGGAGAAAUUAGGUACUUUGGUUAUUUUAGCCUUAAUAGUAGAAGUAAAGAGGAAGGUAGAUGUUAUUGGUUUUUCAAUAGCCAAACCAUAGUUUUUAUUAUAUACUCUCUAUUCCAUAUAAGAUCUUCAAAGGUUCAUCAUUGCUUACAGUGUGAAGUCUAUAUCUCUUAUUAUUGUGUAGUAUGAUGUUGUAGAAUGAUUUCUUACCUAACUUCAAGAAUUUAUAGACAACUUAACUUCAUUUUUGCUAAUGUACCUGUAUUAGUCAGGGUUCUCCAGAGAAAUAGAACUAAUAGGAUGUGUAGAUGUAUAGAAAAAGGCUUAUUUUAAGGAACUGACUUACCUGAUUAUGAAGACAAGCAAGUCUGAAAUCUGCAGAGUGGGCUGUCAGGCUGGAGACUCAAGAAGAGCCAACAUUGCAGUUCAAGUCUGAAGGCCAUCUGCUGAUAGAUUCUUUUUAACUCAGGGGAAGUCAGCCUUUUGUUCUAUUUAGACCUUCAAUUCACUGGGUAACGCCCAUCUAAAUUACGAAGGGCAAACUGCCUGACUCAAAAUCUACUGAUUUAAAUAUUAAUCUCAUCUAAAAACAUCCCCCUGGAAACAUCCAGAAUAACAUUUUAUCGUACAGUUACGCACUGUGGCCUAGCCAAGUUGACACAAAACAUUAACCAUCACAGCACCUAAAUUAAGCAUGCUUGAGGGCCGGGCAUGGUGGCUUAUGCCUGUAAUCCUAAUACUUUGGCAGGCUGAAAUGGGAAGAUUGCUUGAACUCAGGAAGUCAAGACUGCAAUGAGCUAUAAUUGCACCACUGCACUGUAGCCUGAGUGGCAGAAUGAGGUCCCCCACCUCUCUGUCAAAAAAAAAAAAAAAAAAAUGUUUGAACACCAGGAAAGAAUGACUGAGAAAGAUGAGCCCAAAGGGGUGACAGAGACGAUAUCACGCAGGGUAGUACAGGCCCUGAUGAGGAAAGAGCAGCCUUUAUAUCAAGAGCAAUAGAGAUUAAUGAAGCAUUUUAAAUCACUUCAGACAGGGGUUCCCAACCUCUGAGUGGCAGACUGGUACCAGUUGGUGACCUGUUAGGAAUUGGGCUGCACAGCAGGAGGUGAGCAGCAGGUGAGCAAGCAUUACUUCCUGAGUUCUGCCUCCUUUAAGAUCAGUGGUGGCAUUAGAUUCUCAUGAACCCUAUUAUGAACUGCACAUGCGGGGGAUCUGGAUUACAACCUCCUUAUAAGAUUCUAACUAAUGUCUGAUGUUCUGAGGUAGAACAGUUUCAUCCCAAAACUAUCCCUCUCCAUCCAUGGAAAAAUUGUUUUCCGUAAAACUGGUCCCUGGUGCCAAAAAGGCUGGGGACUGCUGACUUCAGAUGUUUGCUCACCUAUUUCCUCCUAUCUUUAUUCUGACCCUUCUUCCAACCAAUGUAGUUUGUGUGGAAUUGGCCUCAAAUUAAGACGUUUAGCAACGUCUGGCUUAAGACGUUUGGCUUAAGAUGUUUAGCAAACCUAAUCCCAUUGGCCACAGUGAUUAGUUCAGGGAUGGGUCAAUAAGACACAGUAUUCCAUGUGCUGGAGCUUCUGAGAAAGUGUCCUCUUUUACUGUGUUUGCUGGAGUAACUAUGUGAUGCUUAGAAACUGCUGCUGCCAUGUUGCUAUCACUACAGGAGUAAUCUUAAGAUAGCACUGACACACAGAGAAGACAGAACUGUGAGAUGGAGCUUGGUGACAGAUUAUAAACAGAUUCAUGUAUCAAGCUGUAACUGAAACUCUUCAACUCCUAAAUCUCCAGUUGGGACAGAAAAUUAUCUUCUAUUACAUUUAAAACCACAUGACUUAGGCUUUCUAUGCCUUGCAACAUGAAUAUUGUUAAUUAGUAUAUGUCAAGUAAUCACAUUUUCAUUUUAGAAAGCUUAUUUUGGUCUGUAGGGAUAAUGGAUUGUAAGGCAUAAGGUAGGGAGACAAGUCCCAGUAAUAUUAGGUCACAGUUUAAAAUUUUCCUUGGUUUACAAAGAUGGUGCACCUCUGUUUCCAAGUUCUGGGCUCUUGCUGUUGCAGGGCAGACUAUGGCUGCCAGGAAGCCACCCCAGGCACCCUGUCAGAGGAGAGCAGUACUUUGGACCUGCCAUAAGCCUGUAUGUGAGGGAUUAUGUCCUGCAGAGACCCAGCCAAGAGGCCAACAGCAAGGCUUUUAGUUCUGUGAAAUUCCAUUCUUUUCCUUGCUUUUCUGAUGUGGAUCCAGACACCAGUAGCCUAAAUACUGAACGAAAUGACUCUGGGACCACUGAGAACUUUUUUUUUUUUUGAGACAGAAACUUUUGAUUUCACCUUUCUGUGAAAGGCCAAUCAGAGAUCAAAGAAGAGGAUAAUGGACUUCAGAAAUCUCUGGAUAAAUUCUAUGAAAUGUUUGGCUAUCCAAAGUUAGCCUCUGGGAAUCCACUCUCUGCACCUGUCUGCCAGUGCCUGUCUCAGGAAAUCCCUCAACUAAGAGUCCAGGAGAGCCAAAAGUAUGCCCUCCAUGUUUUCAAAUGUCCCAGGUCAUCUUUAACUGUGAGGCUGCUCAGUCUUGCAGAGGGACAUCCACUUCUACUCACUGGAGGAAGGAAGUAUGUCUGUAGAAAAGCCAACCCAGAACUUUCAAAAGAUACUAAUUUUCUCUUAUGGCAGAAUGCAAUGAAAGACCCACAACUGGUGCCUGGUGGUGAACAGGCAGUAUUGGAGGUAUAGGCUAUGACCAGUACUAUUGGCAGCCAUCCAGAUCCCCCAGGGUCUCUUGCCAGCUCACUGUGCUCAAUCUUAACUAAGUGAUUUGUGGUUAAAGGCUGGCACCUGUGACCUGGUGUUGGAGUCAGUCAGUCUGUAUAGAAAGCAGCAGGGUCUGGGGGUUUUAUGUGCCUGUGGCUACUCCACCUCCCACUCCCCUUGGCUGAGGCCAUUGACUGACAGGGUUAGGAGUCAAAAGCCCAGCUCCCUUCACAAGGAGGGACACACUCUGAGGCAUAAUUUAUACUCCAUAGGUCCCUCCCCUGACAGUCAGGCCAAUGCUGGGAGUUCACAUGAAAUCACACUCUUUCUGGGCUUCAUCCCUUUCUCCGUCCUCCUCCCAUUCAUUUAUGGGUCUGUCUGUGAGCCUUUCCUUAAUUAACCUCUUAUAUCUGAAAAAAAAUUGCUCUGUUCAAUAUUGCACUAUUCAUACACAGACCUCAUAUUUAAAAUCCAUUUCCAGGCAACCACCUUUGGUUCCCUUCCCUUUGUGUGGGAGCUCUGUUUUCACUCUAUUAAAUCUUGCAACUGCACUCUUCUGGUCUGUGUUUGUUACAGCUCAAGCUGAGCUUUCCCUCGCUGUCCACCACUGCUGCUUGCCGCCAUUGCAGACCUGCCGCUGACUUCCAUCCCUCCGAAUCCGGCAGGGUGUCUGCUGUGCUCCUGAUCCAGCGAGGCACCUGCCCAUUGCUGCUCCCUAUUGGGCUAAAGGCUUGCCAUUGUUCCUGCGUGGCUAAGUGCCUGGGUUCAUCCUAAUUGAGCUGAACAAUUAGUCACUGGGUUCCAUGGUUCUCUUCACUGACUGACAGCUUCUGAUAGACCUAUAACAUUCACUGCAUGGCCCAAGAUUCCAUUCCUUGGAAUCCGUGAGGCCAAGAACCCCAGGUCAGAGAACACGAGCCUUACUA
Cercocebus atys (sooty mangabey) is the source of this 4702-nucleotide RNA transcript. RefSeq lists it as uncharacterized. The record is from RefSeq and is a predicted model, not a curated record. The transcript is spliced from 2 exons. NCBI's taxonomy places the organism in Eukaryota, Metazoa, Chordata, Mammalia, Primates, Cercopithecidae.